Molecule: long non-coding RNA, 449 nt
Filed under: Numida meleagris (helmeted guineafowl)
Lineage: Eukaryota; Metazoa; Chordata; Aves; Galliformes; Numididae
Description: lncRNA (ENSNMEG00000013700.1)
Source: RNAcentral
AUGAACUGUACGGGGGGCAGAGGUCACGCGAACCAUUAUUGUGCUGUAUUUUAUGCAAACAAAAAAAAUGUAUUAGAGGAUGUGCUUUGUAUUGUAACAAGUGCUCCUCCAUUCAGUGACAUUGCCAUAAUCAUGCAGUUAUUGCCAGCCUUGUCAGAGCCAACUGCGUGCAACUGUGAGGAGCAGGGGGUCAGCACUUGUGGCAUCAGCUCCUGUAACCACAGCAGUGCAGCGUGGCACAGUUACACUUUAAAUGAGAAUAUUUAGGGGAGGAAUGACAGCACUGUGCCAGCCUGCAGCAGCUGCACCAAGUUACUGGAACACCAGAACACUUAUUCUACAGGCCUAGAAGCAAAGGAUUCUAAAGGUGUUUUCAGAAGGUGCCCAUGCUACUGAGAAGUGUAUGCACCAUUUUUAAAAGUGCCUUGCUGAGAGAUGAUGGACUGGGU